GACGAACGCUGGCGGCGUGCCUAAUACAUGCAAGUAGAACGCUGAAGAGAGGAGCUUGCUCUUCUUGGAUGAGUUGCGAACGGGUGAGUGACGCGUAGGUAACCUGCCUUGUAGCGGGGGAUAACUAUUGGAAACGAUAGCUAAUACCGCAUAACAAUGGAUGACACAUGUCAUUUAUUUGAAAGGGGCAAUUGCUCCACUACAAGAUGGACCUGCGUUGUAUUAGCUAGUAGGUGAGGUAAUGGCUCACCUAGGCGACGAUACAUAGCCGACCUGAGAGGGUGAUCGGCCACACUGGGACUGAGACACGGCCCAGACUCCUACGGGAGGCAGCAGUAGGGAAUCCUCGGCAAUGGGGGCAACCCUGACCGAGCAACGCCGCGUGAGUGAAGAAGGUUUUCGGAUCGUAAAGCUCUGUUGUAAGUCAAGAACGGGUGUGAGAGUGGAAAGUUCACACUGUGACGGUAGCUUACCAGAAAGGGACGGCUAACUACGUG
Molecule: ribosomal RNA, 497 nt
Filed under: uncultured bacterium
Lineage: Bacteria
Description: partial 16S ribosomal RNA
Rfam family: Bacterial small subunit ribosomal RNA
Source: RNAcentral